Molecule: ribosomal RNA, 784 nt
Filed under: uncultured bacterium
Lineage: Bacteria
Description: bacterial SSU rRNA
Rfam family: Bacterial small subunit ribosomal RNA
Source: RNAcentral
CAGUCGAACGAAGCACUUUAAUCGAUUUCUUCGGAUUGAAAUUUUAGUGACUGAGUGUCGGACGGGUGAGUAACGCGUGGGUAACCUGCCUCACACAGGGGGAUAACAGUUGGAAACGGCUGCUAAUACCGCAUAAGCGCACAGUACCGCAUGGUACGGUGUGAAAAACUCCGGUGGUGUGAGAUGGACCCGCGUCUGAUUAGCUAGUUGGCAGGGCAACGGCCUACCAAGGCGACGAUCAGUAGCCGACCUGAGAGGGUGACCGGCCACAUUGGGACUGAGACACGGCCCAAACUCCUACGGGAGGCAGCAGUGGGGAAUAUUGCACAAUGGGGGAAACCCUGAUGCAGCGACGCCGCGUGAGCGAAGAAGUAUUUCGGUAUGUAAAGCUCUAUCAGCAGGGAAGAAGAAAUGACGGUACCUGACUAAGAAGCACCGGCUAAAUACGUGCCAGCAGCCGCGGUAAUACGUAUGGUGCAAGCGUUAUCCGGAUUUACUGGGUGUAAAGGGAGCGCAGGCGGAAGGCUAAGUCUGAUGUGAAAGCCCGGGGCUCAACCCCGGUACUGCAUUGGAAACUGGUCAUCUAGAGUGUCGGAGGGGUAAGUGGAAUUCCUAGUGUAGCGGUGAAAUGCGUAGAUAUUAGGAGGAACACCAGUGGCGAAGGCGGCUUACUGGACGAUAACUGACGCUGAGGCUCGAAAGCGUGGGGAGCAAACAGGAUUAGAUACCCUGGUAGUCCACGCCGUANACGAUGAAUACUAGGUGUCGGAAGNCACAGCUUUUC